Molecule: non-coding RNA, 1023 nt
Organism: Camellia sinensis
Lineage: Eukaryota; Viridiplantae; Streptophyta; Magnoliopsida; Ericales; Theaceae
Source: RefSeq, a predicted model, not a curated record
UAGAAGGUUGAUGAGCGCAUCAGGACUUUGAUUGAGAAUGGGGUAAAGACAAGGCACAGGUCCAUGUUUGUCAUUAUUGGUGAUAAAUCUCGUGAUCAGAUUGUAAAUCUCCACUACAUGUUAAGCAAGGCAGACAUCAAAUCCCGCCCAACUGUCUUAUGGUGUUACAAGGAAAAAUUGAUUGACAACACUAGAAUAUCCCCAAAAUCACAAAUUUAGUUCAUUGAACUACGGAAACAAACCCAAAUAUGAGGGCAAUUCUAUAAGAACCAACUAGUCAAACUUAAAAAUAAAAUCUAGUCAAACUUAAAAUAAAUAAAAACAUAGCUGCAAAACAAAAUAAAAACAAUUAAUUCCUAAUUGGAACAAAGUAAUUUAAAAUUGGUACAAAUUUGAUUCAUAAUGGACAUAACAUAAUUGAACAUCUUUGAAAGUAAUUUAAAAUUGGACAUAAUUGGACAUCUUUCAAAGUAAUUUAAAAUUUUCCCGAUUCACAAUUGGAACAAAUCUGAUUCAUAAUGCAUAGAAAGUAAUCUGAUCCCAUCUAAAAUUUUCCUAAUGCAUAGAAAGUAAUUUGAUCCCAUCGUGCACAAUUAAAUUUUGAUCUAGAUAGGACAAUAGGGGAUGUAGACUUCUUCAAUUUGUUAGCCUGAUUAUAUAUGGGUAAAUUAAUCUAGGAAAAAUGCUGAAAGGUAUAGAAAGUAGAAAGCCUAGUAGAUGUAUCCAGCAGUUGGGUUUACUAGACAAUUUCAUCUAAGACAAACAAGAAUAGAAACAACUCAAGAUUUCGGUGGUCACAAAUAUACAGACUCCAGAUUACAUGGACACAGGUCCAACAUAAGAUGCUUUCAAAAUUAAAUCUUCAAAUUUGGCAUCAAUAUAUAUAUAUAUAUAUAUAGCCCAUCAAAUGAAAAAGAAAAUCAAGAAGCAAUGCAAUUUUUCUUAGUAUAUUAAUCAAAUCUUCCUUCAUGGUAAUUAAAAAUACCAAUAGCUUACCUACCAGCCAAAAAAAAAAAAAAAAAA